This 265-nucleotide ribosomal RNA is filed under the name uncultured bacterium. RNAcentral describes it as "partial 16S ribosomal RNA". It matches the Rfam family "Bacterial small subunit ribosomal RNA", at positions 793 to 1055 of the family's 1533-position model. The record is from RNAcentral.
GUCCACGCCCUAAACGAUGCGAACUGGACGUUGGGUGGACUUAGCCACUCAGUGUCGAAGCUAACGCGUUAAGUUCGCCGCCUGGGGAGUACGGUCGCAAGACUGAAACUCAAAGGAAUUGACGGGGGCCCCGCACAAGCGGUGGAGUAUGUGGUUUAAUUCGAUGCAACGCGCAGAACCUUACCUGGCCUUGACAUGUCCGGAACCUUGCAGAGAUGCGAGGGUGCCUUCGGGAAUCGGAACACAGGUGCUGCAUGGCUGUCGU